Amphiprion ocellaris (clown anemonefish) is the source of this 6928-nucleotide long non-coding RNA. RefSeq lists it as uncharacterized. The record is from RefSeq and is a predicted model, not a curated record. The transcript has 2 exons. NCBI's taxonomy places the organism in Eukaryota, Metazoa, Chordata, Actinopteri, Pomacentridae.
UCUUCUCUUCUCUCCUCUCCUCUCCUCUUCUCUUCUCUUCUCUUUUCUCUUCUGUUCUCGUUCUUCUUGGGUUGGUUUUGUGUGGAGGCAGUGAGCUGGAUCAUCCCCAGCAGAGUGGAAACUACCUGCUGAACACACUCAGGUGUGAAUCCUGUGAUAAAACACUGACUGUUUGUCUCCAUCUGUUCGUCUUCACGUCUUAAACCUGGUAUUAAAGCUCCGUCCCCCCGGUCCUCCUCCUGCUUUUUCCAUCUUCACCCCUCGCUGUUCUUUAAAGGUUAAUUUGUCCGGAUGACCUGCUGUGUCUCGGCUCCGUCUUUGUUCUGCUGCUCUGACCUUUACCUGAUCUCAGAUCUGUUUCUGCUCUUUACUGGUGAGAACAUCGCCUCAGAUCUGGAUGUUCCUCCUGCAGGAUCGGUUAUAUCAGACAGGAACGUGGAGGAACUGAUCCCAGGACAGUUUAAAGGUCUGAACAUCUCCACGGCUCCUAAAACAAUCGAUCACCAGAUGAAACACGGAUUUAUACGGUUCUGUUUGGAGAACAAACUUCAGACCUGCAGGCAGUUCAAGGAGAAGCUUCAGAACAAAAAACAGAAUCACAAAACAGUUUUAACGAAGACUUAAGAAAAAAUGUUCCCAUUUCUUGAGCCUCUGUUUAUAUUUAAAAAAGAAAGUUUUGCAGAACGAGCCAGAAAAAGGAGCAAAGAUAACCAAAUAUUUGAAUUUUAUCCUUUUAUGAAUAGAUUUUUUGUUCUAAAUCUAAAAACCUGUAAGAAGCUAAGAUUAAUUUUCAGGCUUUUAUUUUGAUGCACCCACCAAAAUAAAAGUGCUAACGUGGAACCAACAAUGGUUCUUCAAUUUGAUUCCCUUAAAGAGACUCUUUCCAUGGGAGGUUCUGUAAAGCUAAAGUUCUUCAGAUAGUUCUUUAAAGAACCCCCAAAGGUGCCUAAAAGAACUCUUUAAAAGCAUUCCAUUUGGUGCCAUGAAUAGUGCUCCAAAGAACUUUAAAAAUAGGUUCUUUGAGGAACCAUUUAUUCAGACAAUUCUUUAAAGAACCCUCAAAGGUUCUACAAAGAACCGUAAGAAAUUUUUUUCUUUAGGCACCUUAAAAACACUCCAAAGAACUUUAGCAAAAAUAGGUUAUUUUUGGAACCAUUUUAGGAACCAGUGCCUAAACAGACAAUGGUCUAGUGUAACAGGGUCGAUUAUACAGUGAUAUAUAAGUGUGUGUAUAUGGAAUAUGUUGUACAUUAGUUAUUGUGAUAAUUACACAAAAUCUGUGUCUGUUGGGUUUGUUUGUUUGUUUAUUUUUGUUUCACUUAAUGCCUGACUAGUUGAGCCUCCUUGUCAGUAAGUGGAACUUUGGUUUGGGUUUGUACCACUACAGUCACAUUCUAUGUAACACCGCCCUCUAUAAGUGCCAUUCUCGCGCCAAUUCUCUCCCCUUUUGUCGCUGAUUUCUGUGGGAGAGGUAAGCGGCUUUGCAGUCUGGGGAAAUUUCUGUUCUAGCUAGAUUAAACUUGUUACGAGAUGCUCACUUUGUUAUUAUUUGAUCUGUGUAGGGGCGUGUGUUGUAGCGAUCACUGACAGGAGAAUUUUGUGUUUCUACUUUAAUGUCAGGAGCUGGAAAAUAAAUGGAGACGGCCUCCAAAAAAGAUGCACGCCUGAAUUUUUGCUAGCACACAUAACGCAGAGACAGAAACACACCGGUCACACUAGCACAUUAAAUGGCGCUCCAUAGAACUUGAGGAAUUAUUUCAGUAACAGAACUUGAUAAUUAUUUAGGUCGUCCUUAAGCAAAAAAGUAAGAAUUUGGUUUCUCCUAUUAGAACCAGUUUAAUAUUUUGAGUUCUGGACUUUUGGUGACAGAACAGCAUGUUCUAAGAUGCCAGCUUUGGAUUCUGGAAACUGUAAUGGACUUUUCUUACUGUUUUCUGAUGUUUUAUCAAUCAAUAACCUUAAGUACUUUAAAGAACCCUAUAAAGUACCUCUACACUGUCUGUGGAUAGUUUUAUAGUUCCGACUUUGUCACAGCUGAGUUCUACAGUAAAAUCAUAGAACUGUGGACGAAUCAUUCAUAAAGUCACAUCGGAGUGUUUGGUGUCAAUCAGAGAACGUUCACUUGACGUUCUCACGAUUGACAGAUGUUCUACCAGUGAUGAGCUGUUCCCAUGACGACCUAAUGAGGUCUCCUAAUGUUUGAUGGUAUCAGCCGACUCGGUGUGGAACUCGUCUUUGUUCUUCGUCCUGACGGAGCGCCGGCAGUAUUUUUAACAUCUCAGAGGUGCCAACUGAGUGUGGAAACUAUUUGUGGACCGAUAAUGAUGUUCCUGCCACGGAGCCGAGAAAAAAAAUGUGAGAACACAUGAGACGGUUUAAAGUAGGAACAAGUUUAGUCGACCAGAGAAGAGACGUAAAUAACACAGAACAAGUUUAAUCAAGCAGAGAACUUCACUGAGAGUCUGGAAUAAAGGUGCACUGGUGCUGCACAAGAACCAUUUAAAGUUCCACAAAAGCAAAAGGUUCUUAAAGAAAACAUUUUUUCGAAUUGAUUCUUGGUGGACCCCCAAAGAUGCCUUAAAGAACCAUCAUAAAAUGCUUCCUAGAGGCAUCAUAACAAUCACUCCAAUGAACUUUAGUAAACAUCUUUUAAUCAUCUUUAAAUGGUUCUUUAGGAAACCACUGAAGGUUCCUCAAACCACCUUUAAAAAACAGAACACUUUUCAGCAUAAAUGGUGCUCCAAAGAACUUCAGUGAAAAUAGAUUCUUUAAGAAAGCCCAACAGGUGCCUCAAAGAACCACCAGAAAGGGGUUCUUCACUACACCAGAAAUGGUACUCCAAGGAAUUGUCACAAAAAUAGGUUCUUUAUGGAAUCUCUGAAGAUGUCUUGAAGUACCAUCAAAAAUGUUUUUUUUUAAUAUUAUUUGAAAAAUGCUUUUCAAGGAACCAUAAAUGGUGCCCCAAAGAACUUUCAUAGAGAACAGGUUCUUCUCUACUGUACAGACGUUUAGCAAAAAUACAUUCUUGAAGAAAGUGUUUCUUUAAAUGGUUCUCCAAAGAACCGUUGAAGGUGCCUCAAGAAGCUAUCAGAAAUGUUUCCAUGAGGCAACAUGAAUGGAUCUCCUUAGAACCUUGGCAAAAAUAGAUUCUUUCGCAGUGUUUAUUGGGUCGGUUUCUUAAAAAUCCACAAACAUGCCUUAAAGAACCACCAUAAAUGGUACUCCGAGUAUUUUUUCGCAAAAACAGGUUCUUUACUGCAUCAUUUCUUCAUGGUACUUUGAGGCACAUUUGGUAGUUCUCAAAGGAACCGUUCAAUGGAAUGGUUUAUGAUAGAACCUAUUUUUGAUAAAGUUCUUCCAAAAUCAACCAAAAUCCAGCGAAUUUCCUUGGAUUUUGGUUGAUUUUUAUGUGAAAGUUCUUAAAGAGAAUAUUAGAAGUUUUACUGAUAUAUAUGGAAUCACUUUGGAUAUUUUUAGGAUUUUUUGGAAGAUUUUUAUUCAUUUUUUAAAAAUAUUUACAUUUUUUUAAAAUUAUUUUUUGAAUUUUUAUUUCUUAAAAAAAUAUUUUUUAAGGGAAACUUUUAAAGAAUUUUCUUCCUGAAGGUUGUGCAAUUUUUUUUAUAAAUUUGAGGAGUUUUUUUGCUAAAUUUUUGGAUUUUCUUCAGAUGAAGGAACAAUAUUUUUUGCUGUCCGUAAAUGAGGACAGCAGGAGGGUUAAGGGGCUUCAGUCAAAAUAGCUUCUCUAAAGAACCAUUUGGUUCAUUUAGGAACCCCCAGAGGUUUCUAAAGACGGCCGAUUUUUUUUAACUGAAAGUGUGUCCAGGUGAGAUCCUUCCUUUGUUUUUAUUUAUUUCUAUUUCUGUGUACAUUUCUGUAUUUGAGUGGGUUUUUUUCAUUGUUGUGUUUAAAGUAGAGAAAAUGAAAGUUGGUCAAUAAUUAUUCAUGUCGGCUAAAAUUAAACAUUCUGUUUAUUUUUAAGUACAACUACAUUUCUAACUUCUCUUUUUGAAAUCAAAACAUGCAAAGUAAAUCCUUGUUUUUUUUCCCCGUGUCGUUUUGAACACGCGUGUUUAUUACAUGUCGCAGCUGGAGGAUGCAUGUACCCUCCGUUACCGUGGCAACCUGUGGUUUCCAUGGCGGUUUGGGCUCACACAGAGGAGGAUGCUGCUCCCCUUCACACCGUGGUGAAUCCACUCAGGUUUCUGUCUUGCAGAAGGUCUUUGUUCAGCUACAUGUCGUCACUUCACAGAUAAAAAUACCACAAACAACAUUUCCUUCACCACAAAACUCUGCUGGAAACAUUCAGUCACGAAACAAUACUCACGUCAUCAGAAUAAUCACCAGGUAAACCUUUAAAAACAGAAAAUUACUCCGAUAUCAAAGAACGUUUACGGUUCUGCACAUAUUCAUGUUUUAUGCCUCUGGGCCCGAAGAUUUAAUCUGACUAAUAAACUCCCAAACCUUCCAGAUGAGGGUUCAGUCCAGCUGAGAUCUAAACUAAGGCUUUGGUCAGGAACCUUCGUCCUGCUGGAGAACCGUCUGCAGAACGGGUCUCUGAGUGUUUCUGGAACGUUCCACGGCGGAUCGCCAACCUCCGGCCGUUCUCAUGUCCGGCAGCAGAGCAGCUUGUGAAAGACGUUCCUGAACUCGGCAUUGAAGGCUGUGUAGAUGAUCGGGUUGACAGCGCUGUUGACGUAGCCGAGCCACGUUACCACGGAGAUGAGGGUGGGACCGAUGUCACAUGACCCACAGGACACCUUGGUGACGUGGACGACGAAGAACGGCGUCCAGCAGGCCAGGAACACACCUGAGACACAGAGACAGGAAGACUUUAGCUAAAGGUUCUCAACCCUCGUGUCGUCCUGCGGGUCAAAAUUGACCCGUUUUAAAGUUUGAAAAUGUGGAGAAAAAUAUAUUUUCACAGUGAAACUUCUGAUGUCCACAUUUUCAACAUUUUUGGGAAAUCUUUGAACAGUUUUUGGUGGAAAAAAAAGAAAUGUUAAAAAUGUUUCUUAAGAACAUUCACAAAAAAAUCAACCAAAAUCCAGUGAAUUUCGCUGGAUUUUGGUUCAUUUUUAUGUGAAUGUUCUUAAAGAAAAUAUUAGAAGUUUUACUGAUGUAUAUGGAAUCACUUUAGAUAUUUUUAGGAUUUUUUUGGAAGAUUUUUACUCAUUUUUUGAAAAUAUUUACAAGAAUUUUCUUGCCAAAUUUGGGGGAUUUUUUAAAAAUAAAACUUUUAAGGGAAACUUUUAAGGAAUUAUUGGAAUUUUCUUCCUGAAUGUUUUGCAAAUUUUCAGAAAUUUGUUGAAUUUUUUUGCUGAAUUUUGGGAUUUUUUUUGGACAAAGAAAAAAAUUUUUGGUGCCUGUAAAUGAGGACAACAGGAGGGUUAAAGGAUUUUCUAAAAGCCACCCGAUGGUGGUGCAAGGAACCAUCAAAAAUUUUUCUUUAUGCACCAUACAUGGCGGUCCAAAGAUAUUUAGCAAAAAUAGGUUAUUAAAGGAACCAUUCUUUAAACGGUUCUUCAAAGAACCCCUUAAAGGGCCACAGCAUAAAUGGUGCUACAAAGGCCUUUCAUAAAAAAAUUGUUUCAGUUUGAAGAAGAUGUUUUUGCUAAAGUUCUUUGGAGAACCGUCUGAAUAUUUGGUUCCUUAAAGAACCACUUGAAGAAAUGCUUGUUUUCAAAAGUAACUGUAAUAAAAUGAAAAAGUGCUGAAGUUCUUUGGCGCACCAUUUACAGUUUCUACAAAACUGGGUGGUUGAAUUUUUCUUUGAGGCUCAUUUGGGGUUCUCCAAAGAACCUUGGUGCUUUAACAAGUUUUUUUUUUUUUGUUUUUUUUUUUGCUAAAGUUCUCUUUUUUAAGUAGGGUGCCUCAAGGAACUAUUUAUUGUGGUACCUUUGAGAGUUGUUUAAAAAACGGUUUGAAGAAAUGGUUUCUCAUUAAACCUAUUUUUGUUCUCUGGAGAACCACUUUUGGUGCUUGAAGGAACCCUUCUCUGACGGUUCUAUUCUAGGAACCUGUCAGUAACCUGUGUUUACAUGUAACCUCCUCCAGCUGUUGAUCCCCAGAUGUUCCUGAACGUCUUCGGCUCAUAUUCGGUGUUUCUUUGUGGAUCUAGGCCCGUUGAAGCGUCUUUGUUCUGCGGUUUGUGUUUAAACACCAUCGGGUGUGAAGCUGCUGCUGAGAACUGAAGCCGUUUCCAAGGAGACGAUAGAAGAACGUUCUAUUUUUACUGGAGCAUCACAGCUUCCCUCCCAGUUUCAGUAAAACACCAGAAACAGUUUGUGGAGAUGUCCAGCUGAGAGGUGCUCAGUAAACGGUUUUCAUCUCCAUCACGUUCUGCUCCUUCCUGAGGUUCCACACCAUUAACUGUGUGGAAUGACUUCGUAGCAGAUGACGUGGAACCUUCAAUUUCAGCCUGAGUGAUGAGUUUGUUCAUGAUCAUUUGUGUCCGUUUUAAUGUUUUCACAGACGCAGCAACCAAAACAUUUCAUCAGUUUAUUAUUUCCAGAUAGAAUGUUCUGUUGUUGAUCUUUUUAAUGUUGUUCUGUUGUUAUUGUUUUUACUGAUGUUUUAUUUCUUUUAGUUUUAUUUAAUGUGUUCUGUAUUUUAAUGCUUUGUGAAGCAGUUGAAACGUGCUAUAGAAAUAAGGUUCAUUAUUAUUAUUAUUUUCCAUAAUUAACUUCAUUUUCUAGCUCUGUUCCAUGAAAAUGUGUUUUUUUUGUGUUUGUAAAGUUUAAUGAAGGAUAUUUAGACGUGUAAAAUGAAGAAAUUAUCUGUUAGUUCUUAAACAUUAUAAGAUGAUAAAAAGUAUAUUUUUAUGUAUUUUAGGUAAAUGUGGUUCCUUAAAGAACCACUUGAAGAAAUGCUUAUUCUAGGAAGCAAUAUUAAUCAAAAAUUAACAGGUAAUAAAGGUUUUGGAGCACCA